GGUUAAGCGACUAAGCGUACACGGUGGAUGCCCUGGCAGUCAGAGGCGAUGAAGGACGUGCUAAUCUGCGAUAAGCGUCGGUAAGGUGAUAUGAACCGUUAUAACCGGCGAUUUCCGAAUGGGGAAACCCAGUGUGAUUCGUCACACUAUCAUUAACUGAAUCCAUAGGUUAAUGAGGCGAACCGGGGGAACUGAAACAUCUAAGUACCCCGAGGAAAAGAAAUCAACCGAGAUUCCCCCAGUAGCGGCGAGCGAACGGGGAGCAGCCCAGAGCCUGAAUCAGUGUGUGUGUUAGUGGAAGCGUCUGGAAAGGCGCGCGAUACAGGGUGACAGCCCCGUACACAAAAAUGCACAUGCUGUGAGCUCGAUGAGUAGGGCGGGACACGUGGUAUCCUGUCUGAAUAUGGGGGGACCAUCCUCCAAGGCUAAAUACUCCUGACUGACCGAUAGUGAACCAGUACCGUGAGGGAAAGGCGAAAAGAACCCCGGCGAGGGGAGUGAAAAAGAACCUGAAACCGUGUACGUACAAGCAGUGGGAGCACAGAGCAAUCUGUGUGACUGCGUACCUUUUGUAUAAUGGGUCAGCGACUUAUAUUCUGUAGCAAGGUUAACCGAAUAGGGGAGCCGAAGGGAAACCGAGUCUUAACUGGGCGUUAAGUUGCAGGGUAUAGACCCGAAACCCGGUGAUCUAGCCAUGGGCAGGUUGAAGGUUGGGUAACACUAACUGGAGGACCGAACCGACUAAUGUUGAAAAAUUAGCGGAUGACUUGUGGCUGGGGGUGAAAGGCCAAUCAAACCGGGAGAUAGCUGGUUCUCCCCGAAAGCUAUUUAGGUAGCGCCUCGUGAAUUCAUCUCCGGGGGUAGAGCACUGUUUCGGCAAGGGGGUCAUCCCGACUUACCAACCCGAUGCAAACUGCGAAUACCGGAGAAUGUUAUCACGGGAGACACACGGCGGGUGCUAACGUCCGUCGUGAAGAGGGAAACAACCCAGACCGCCAGCUAAGGUCCCAAAGUCAUGGUUAAGUGGGAAACGAUGUGGGAAGGCCCAGACAGCCAGGAUGUUGGCUUAGAAGCAGCCAUCAUUUAAAGAAAGCGUAAUAGCUCACUGGUCGAGUCGGCCUGCGCGGAAGAUGUAACGGGGCUAAACCAUGCACCGAAGCUGCGGCAGCGACGCUGAUGCGUUGUUGGGUAGGGGAGCGUUCUGUAAGCCUGUGAAGGUGUGCUGUGAGGCAUGCUGGAGGUAUCAGAAGUGCGAAUGCUGACAUAAGUAACGAUAAAGCGGGUGAAAAGCCCGCUCGCCGGAAGACCAAGGGUUCCUGUCCAACGUUAAUCGGGGCAGGGUGAGUCGACCCCUAAGGCGAGGCCGAAAGGCGUAGUCGAUGGGAAACAGGUUAAUAUUCCUGUACUUGGUGUUACUGCGAAGGGGGGACGGAGAAGGCUAUGUUGGCCGGGCGACGGUUGUCCCGGUUUAAGCGUGUAGGCUGGUUUUCCAGGCAAAUCCGGAAAAUCAAGGCUGAGGCGUGAUGACGAGGCACUACGGUGCUGAAGCAACAAAUGCCCUGCUUCCAGGAAAAGCCUCUAAGCAUCAGGUAACAUCAAAUCGUACCCCAAACCGACACAGGUGGUCAGGUAGAGAAUACCAAGGCGCUUGAGAGAACUCGGGUGAAGGAACUAGGCAAAAUGGUGCCGUAACUUCGGGAGAAGGCACGCUGAUAUGUAGGUGAAGUCCCUCGCGGAUGGAGCUGAAAUCAGUCGAAGAUACCAGCUGGCUGCAACUGUUUAUUAAAAACACAGCACUGUGCAAACACGAAAGUGGACGUAUACGGUGUGACGCCUGCCCGGUGCCGGAAGGUUAAUUGAUGGGGUUAGCGCAAGCGAAGCUCUUGAUCGAAGCCCCGGUAAACGGCGGCCGUAACUAUAACGGUCCUAAGGUAGCGAAAUUCCUUGUCGGGUAAGUUCCGACCUGCACGAAUGGCGUAAUGAUGGCCAGGCUGUCUCCACCCGAGACUCAGUGAAAUUGAACUCGCUGUGAAGAUGCAGUGUACCCGCGGCAAGACGGAAAGACCCCGUGAACCUUUACUAUAGCUUGACACUGAACAUUGAGCCUUGAUGUGUAGGAUAGGUGGGAGGCUUUGAAGUGUGGACGCCAGUCUGCAUGGAGCCGACCUUGAAAUACCACCCUUUAAUGUUUGAUGUUCUAACGUUGACCCGUAAUCCGGGUUGCGGACAGUGUCUGGUGGGUAGUUUGACUGGGGCGGUCUCCUCCUAAAGAGUAACGGAGGAGCACGAAGGUUGGCUAAUCCUGGUCGGACAUCAGGAGGUUAGUGCAAUGGCAUAAGCCAGCUUGACUGCGAGCGUGACGGCGCGAGCAGGUGCGAAAGCAGGUCAUAGUGAUCCGGUGGUUCUGAAUGGAAGGGCCAUCGCUCAACGGAUAAAAGGUACUCCGGGGAUAACAGGCUGAUACCGCCCAAGAGUUCAUAUCGACGGCGGUGUUUGGCACCUCGAUGUCGGCUCAUCACAUCCUGGGGCUGAAGUAGGUCCCAAGGGUAUGGCUGUUCGCCAUUUAAAGUGGUACGCGAGCUGGGUUUAGAACGUCGUGAGACAGUUCGGUCCCUAUCUGCCGUGGGCGCUGGAGAACUGAGGGGGGCUGCUCCUAGUACGAGAGGACCGGAGUGGACGCAUCACUGGUGUUCGGGUUGUCAUGCCAAUGGCACUGCCCGGUAGCUAAAUGCGGAAGAGAUAAGUGCUGAAAGCAUCUAAGCACGAAACUUGCCCCGAGAUGAGUUCUCCCUGACUCCUUGAGAGUCCUGAAGGAACGUUGAAGACGACGACGUUGAUAGGCCGGGUGUGUAAGCGCAGCGAUGCGUUGAGCUAACCGGUACUAAUGAACCGUGAGGCUUAACCUU
This 2906-nucleotide ribosomal RNA is filed under the name Escherichia coli. RNAcentral describes it as "23S ribosomal RNA". It matches the Rfam family "Bacterial large subunit ribosomal RNA". Lineage: Bacteria; Pseudomonadati; Pseudomonadota; Gammaproteobacteria; Enterobacterales; Enterobacteriaceae. The record is from RNAcentral.